UCAAUAUGGCUACUGGGUGUAAAAGAUAAAUCUUAUUCUAUCUGUUCUUCAUGAGUUUUAGAUAAUUUUAGUUGUAUUUCUUUGUAAUUUUGUGUUGUACAAAGAUUAAUUUAACAUUUUCUCUGGAAGUAUUAAUUUAGAAAGAUAAUAUGCUUCAUUGGUGUUGUGUUUUGAAGUGUGAACUGCAAAGUAAUUGUGAUAAAGUCAAGAUAAAGUUCACUUUUAAACUGAACUAAAUAAGGUAUCUGAGAGACAACAAUGGUUAAAUGCAAUACAAUGUACAGGUUUUACUAGCGAAAUGAAAAUUUUCCUGUCCUGUCUGCUGUAAUCAUUUUAUAUCUGGAAAACCAGCCGACUUAAUCGAUAAUAACAAUCUCCAGAUUGGGUUCCUUCAAUAAAUAUGGGCUAUAAACACAAUGAAAUAAGUUCCCCAAAAUCUAAAAUGGAGUGGUAUCAAAGGAGAAUUAAAGGAAAAAAUAUUCAUAUUGAAAUUAUUUAUAAGGCACUGGACUGUCUUAAAUUCUACAAUAAUACUAGAAUCAGCUGAGAGAAGUGGUCUACAAAAAACCAGGAAGGAAACGGAAUAUGUGGCUACGAAAAGCAAAAGAAAGGUUUACAAAGCAAAUGUGACACAUUUUUUUGAAAUAUUUAGGAAUAUCAGUAAAUUGCAUUAAAAAAAUGUAUGAAAAGAUUUUGUUCAAUAAAAAUGUUUAUAUUUA
RNAcentral lists this long non-coding RNA (719 nucleotides) under Diabrotica virgifera virgifera (western corn rootworm). RNAcentral describes it as "uncharacterized LOC126890512". Lineage: Eukaryota; Metazoa; Arthropoda; Insecta; Coleoptera; Chrysomelidae. The record is from RNAcentral.